AGACUUUGAUUCUGGCUCAGAUUGAACGCUGGCGGCGUGCCUAACACAUGCAAGUCGAGCGAGAAAGGGUCCUUCGGGGCCUGAGUAGAGCGGCGCACGGGUGAGUAACGCGUAGGUGAUCUACCCUUUGGAUCGGGAUAACAGUUGGAAACGGCUGCUAAUACUGGAUGUGCUCCAUAUUUAACUUUAUGGGGGAAAGGUGGCCUCUGCAUGCAAGCUACCACCAAAGGAUGAACCUGCGUCUCAUUAGCUUGUUGGUGGGGUAAUGGCCUACCAAGGCGACGAUGAGUAGCUGGUCUGAGAGGAUGAUCAGCCACACUGGGACUGGAACACGGCCCAGACUCCUACGGGAGGCAGCAGUGGGGAAUAUUGCGCAAUGGGCGAAAGCCUGACGCAGCGACGCCGCGUGAGGGAAGAAGGCUCUCGGGUCGUAAACCUCUGUCAGAAGGGAAGAAACCCUUGAGGUCGAAUAGGCUUCUUGGCUGACGGUACCUUCAGAGGAAGCACCGGCUAAUUCCGUGCCAGCAGCCGCGGUAAUACGGAAGGUGCA
Molecule: ribosomal RNA, 550 nt
Filed under: uncultured bacterium
Lineage: Bacteria
Description: bacterial SSU rRNA
Rfam family: Bacterial small subunit ribosomal RNA
Source: RNAcentral